UACAGAGGGUGCUAGCGUUGUUCGGAAUCAUUGGGCGUAAAGGGCGUGUAGGCGGCUUAGCAAGUCAGAUGUGAAAUCCCGGGGCUUAACUUCGGAAGUGCAUUUGAAACUGCUAGGCUAGAGUGAAGUAGAGGUUGGUGGAAUUCCCAGUGUAGAGGUGAAAUGCGUAGAGAUGUGGAGGAACACCAAUGGCGAAGGCAGCCUUCUGGGCCAACACUGACGCUCAUGCACGAAAGCGUGGGGAGCAAACAGG
This 253-nucleotide ribosomal RNA is filed under the name uncultured bacterium. Its description in RNAcentral is "partial 16S ribosomal RNA". It matches the Rfam family "Bacterial small subunit ribosomal RNA", at positions 524 to 776 of the family's 1533-position model. The record is from RNAcentral.